Molecule: transfer RNA, 87 nt
Filed under: Puccinia sorghi
Lineage: Eukaryota; Fungi; Basidiomycota; Pucciniomycetes; Pucciniales; Pucciniaceae
Rfam family: tRNA
About the family: Transfer RNA (tRNA) molecules are approximately 80 nucleotides in length.
Source: Rfam by way of RNAcentral
GUGUCUGUAGCCUAGUUGGUUAAAUGUAGCACUCUAGCAUUUGUCUCAUUCAUACUGAGGUUGUGAGUUCAAAUCUCACCAGACACA